CUUGGUGGUUCCAAACUUCUUCCAUUUAAGAAUGAUGGAGACCACUGUAGUCUUGGGGACAGUCAAUGCUGUCCCCAAGACAGCAUUGACUGAAUUUACCACAGGUGGACUCCAAUCAAGUUGUAGAAACAUCUCAAGGAUGAUCAAUGGAAACAGGAUACACCUGAGCUCAACUUUGAGUCUUAUAGCAAAGGCUCUGAAUACUUAUGUAUAUAUAGUUUUUCUGUGUUUUUAUUUUUAAUACAUUUGCAAAAAUGUCUAACGACCUGUUUUCGCUUUGUCAUAUGGGGUAUUGUGUGUAGAUUGUUAAGGAAAAUGUUUCAUUUAAUCCAUUUUAAAAUAAGGCUGUAACGUAACAAAAUGUUUAAAAAGUCAAGGGGUCUGAAUAAUUUCCGAAUGCACUGUAGAUACAACAAUAGUCCAAGGCAGGAGUUGGCAGGAAAUGUCUCUACAUCCACGUUGAGGCCUGCUACAGGCAGGAACAUGGAGCACUCCAUGUCAGUGUCAAGGGAAUAUUCCAGAGCCUUCUUACCAACUAUCGGAGAUCUCUCCAGGACAGAUAAGUGAGUCUACUGGGCCAUGGAACUCUAGAGCAGCACAUUCAAAACAACUGCCCCCCUGUUACCACCUAUCAGCAGACAGGUCCCUGAGGAAGGAUGCAACUCUCAAGGACAAUGGACAAAUUUGGUGGAUGAUCACCAAACGGAAUAAAGUUUUGUAUAAACUACUCAUGUUUGUUUUUUAAAAGUUAUUGCGAAACAGUACAUUUUUCAUAGCCUGUUUUUCAAAUUCUUACUAACUACUACGCUAACUUAAACAUCAAACAACAUGCAGACUUUCUCCAUCAAGAAAACACCUGGUGCUUAUGACUCCAAAAGGUCUAAAAUUUUGUCAUCUGAUUUCCAGGAGCCUGACAGAGAUACGGGCCUUCGGAAGGUAUUCAGACCCCUUGACUUUUUCCACAUUUUGUUACUUAUUCUAAAAUUGAUUAAAUAGAUUUUUUCCCCUCAUCAAUCUACACACAAUACCCCAUAAAGACAAAGCCAAACAGAUUUUUUCAUCACUAAAGCCGUGUUAGCAUUUACUGCACAUAUUGCUAAACAAUCCAACCAUUUUGUUAUUGAUAUAAAUGGGCAAUUCACAUACAAUAAAGUGCAUGAGCAUUGACUGUAAUAGCUCUAGGCUCCUGUGGUUGUCUGGCAGCAUUCUGCUUUCUAGUGAUCUUACUCCCUCUCCACCUGAAAUGCAAUAACAACAAAAAGAAUAACAAUAAGCCUAGUCAGUCAGUAAUUUGUCUAACUUGGCUAAAUUAAAAGCACUGAUGUAAAUGUGCACAAGUCUACUCAACCAAAUUAUACAAAAACAAUACGGCCUAUUUGCAGGAGGGACAUAUUCCAGUCACCAAUUAAUCAAUAAACAGGCAGUGGAACGAAGUUUUCAAAAGUCAAUAACAAGUCUUUAAAAUAUAGCUAGCAAAUAUGUAUAUAUAUAUAUUUUUUUUUCUAGAAACCUAACAUUAUUAGCUACAUUGAUGAUGUUUGGAAUUUUUCCCAUAGCAGUUUCAAUUUAACUUAGCUAACGUUAGCUAGCUACAUGUUGACAGCUAUAUAAUUAAAUCAAAUUAAAAUAAAAUGUUAUUUGUCACAUACACAUGGUUAGCAGAUGUUAAUGCGAGUGUAGUGAAAUGCUUGUGCUUCUAGUUCCGACAAUGCAGUAAUAACCAACGAGUAAUCUAACCUAACAAUUUCACAACAGCUACCUUAUACACACAAGUGUAAAGGGAUGAAGAAUAUGUACAUAAAGAUAUAUGAAUGAGUGAUGGUACAGAAUGGCAUAGGCAAGAUGCAUUAGAUGGUUUCGAGUACAGUAUAUACAAAUGAGAUGCGUAAUGUAGGGUAUGUAAACAAUGUUUUAAAGUGCCAUUGUUUAAAGUGGCUAGUGAAACAUUUUUUACAUGUAUGGCAGCAGCCACUCAAUGUUAGUGAUGGCUGUUUAACAGUCUGAUGGCCUUGAGAUAGAAGCUGUUUUUCAGUCUCUCGGUCCCUGCUUUGAUGCACCUGUACUGACCUCGCCUUCUGGAUGAUAGCGGGGUGAACAGGCAGUGGCUCGGGUGUUGUUGUCCUUGAUGAUCUUUUUGGCCUUCCUGUGACAUCGGGUGGUGUAGGUGUCCUGGAGGGCACAUAGUUUGCCCCCGGUGAUGCGUUGUGCAGACCUCACUACCCUCUGGAGAGCCUUACGGUUGUGGGCGGAGCAGUUGCCGUACCAGGCGGUGAUACAGCCCGACAGGAUGCUCUCGAUUGUGCAUCUGUAAAAGUUUGUGAGUGCUUUUGGUGAGAAGCCGAAUUUCUUCAGCCUCCUGAGGUUGAAGUGGCGCUGCUGCGCCUUCUUCACAACGCUGUCUGUGUGGGUGGACCAAUUCAGUUUGUCCGUGAUGUGAACGCCGAGGAACUUAAAGCGUUUUACCCUCCACUACUGUCCCUUUGAUGUGGAUAGGGGGGUGCUCCCUCUGCUGUUACCUGAAGUCCACGAUCAUCUCCUUUGUUUUGUUGACGUUGAGUGUGAGGCUAUUUUCCUGACACCACACUCCGAGGGCCCUCACCUCCUCCCUGUAGAACGUCUCGUCAUUGUUGGUAAUCAAGCCUACCACUGUAGUGUCGUCUGCAAACUUGAUGAUUGAGUUGGAGGCGUGCAUGGCCACGCAGUCGUGGGUGAACAGGGAGUACAGGGGAGGGCUGAGAAUGCACCUUUGUGGGGCCCCAGUGUUGAGGAUCAGCGGGGUGGAGAUGUUGUUACCUACCCUCACCACCUGGGGGCGGCCCAUCAGGAAGUCCAGUACCCAGUUGCACAGGGCGGGGUCGAGACCCAGGGUCUCGAGCUUGAUGACAAUAAGCAAUAAGGCCAGAGGGGGUGUGGUAUAUGGACAAAAUACCACGGCUAAGGGAUGUUCUUAAGCACUACACAAGGCAGAGUGCUAGGACACAGCCCUUAGCUGUGGUAUAUUGGCCAUACAUCACAAACCCCCGAGGUGCCUUAUUGCUAUUAUAAACUGGUUACCAAUGUAAUUAUAACAGUAAAAAUAAAUGUUUUGUCAUACCCAUGGUAUACCAUGGCUUUCAGCCAAUCAGCAUUCAGGGCUCAAACCACCCAGUUUAUAAUCUCAGUGCAAGAGGCGUCACUGGUUCGAUUCCGGGCUGUAUCACAUCCAGCCGUGAUUGGGAGUCCCAUAGGGCGGUGCACAAUUGGCCCAGCGUAGGCCGGGGUAGGCCGUCAUUGUAAAUAACUUGCUUUCCUAGUUAAAUAAAGGUUAAAAUAAAAUAUGAAAAUAUAUAAUGGUAUUCAUAUCAACUUUAUCAAUCAGAUAGUUAACUAGCAAAUGUAUUUGUUUCCCCCUAGCAUCUAAAGCUGCCUGAUAAAUCUAAUGUUAGCCAGUUGAUAGUAAAGCUAGGAUGAAUUUCAGAAGCCAGCUAGCUAAAGUGAACUUAGCUGCAGUCAAUAGAUUUCCUCUGAAAUGUACCACUUAUAUUUCACAUGAUAAACAAAUUACUGUCAUGCCUUUUCACAAAACAUGUAUGUACACAUAAUAAAGUGAUGAUUACCUUCAAGUAGACUGUUUUAUUCUAGUACUUUCGGCCGAGUAACAUUAAUAAUGUUACUUUGUAAAAAUGACUUCUCCUCUUCAAGCUAUUUCCUGAGAUUUGAUUGAUGGAACAAUCCAUCCAAUGGUUGCAGCAAUUAGGCGGCUGUGGUUUUGACGGAUUGGUCAGGAGUAAAAAUGGUCCUGCCCCUAUUGCUGCUCAAAUCAGUAUUCAUUACUUGCGAAUCUCUUUCUACAAAUGUACAAAACGUUCUACAAUCUUACAAAUCUCUUGGUAGUGUGACAACAGUGACAGAACCCAAGCGUGGACUUAUAAAAUAAAUUAUGCUUGCAAAUCUUUUUGAAUGUAUUCAAAUGUGAAGUUACAAGUUUGCGACCGUUGUACAAGUUUCCAAAUCUGACUUCCAACCACGAAUCUCAAUGUGAGACAACGAAACUCAAAAUACAAACUGGUUCUGUCAUCAUUAUUAUCCAGGAGUCCAGGUGGAAUCAGGCACCUGUCAGACAAGACAUGGAGAGGGAACAGAUUGGAAAUGUGAUUGUAUCUUACAUUCUUUUGACAAUGGAACCCUCUAUAAAGCUGUUGAAUUCUGU
Long non-coding RNA from Salvelinus fontinalis (brook trout), 4189 nucleotides. RefSeq lists it as uncharacterized. The transcript is spliced from 3 exons. The record is from RefSeq and is a predicted model, not a curated record. NCBI's taxonomy places the organism in Eukaryota, Metazoa, Chordata, Actinopteri, Salmoniformes, Salmonidae.